RNAcentral lists this ribosomal RNA (263 nucleotides) under uncultured bacterium. RNAcentral's name for it is "partial 16S ribosomal RNA". It matches the Rfam family "Bacterial small subunit ribosomal RNA", at positions 524 to 784 of the family's 1533-position model. The record is from RNAcentral.
UACGAAGGGUGCGAGCGUUGUUCGGAAUUACUGGGCGUAAAGGGUUUGUAGGCUGAAAUGUAAGUCAAGUGUGAAAUCCCCGAGCUAAACUUGGGACGUGCAUUUGAAACUGUGUUUCUUGAGUAUCGUAGAGGGUGGUGGAAUUGUAGGUGUAGGAGUGACAUCCGUAGAGAUCUGCAGGAACAUCAGAGGCGAAGGCGACCACCUGGCCGAUUACUGACGCUGAGGAACGAAAGCGUGGGGAGCAAACAGGGAUUAAGAUA